GUGCUCGCUUCGGCAGCACAUAUACUAAAAUUGGAAUGAUACAGAGAAGAUUAGCAUGGCCCCUGCACAAGGAUGACACGUAAAAUUGUUAGAUCUUCUUGUU
Small nuclear RNA from Mustela erminea (ermine), 103 nucleotides. NCBI's taxonomy places the organism in Eukaryota, Metazoa, Chordata, Mammalia, Carnivora, Mustelidae. The record is from RefSeq and is a predicted model, not a curated record.